AUUUAAAUACAUCUCAUGUCAAUGUUUAAC
RNAcentral lists this non-coding RNA (30 nucleotides) under Clostridium botulinum NCTC 2916. Lineage: Bacteria; Bacillati; Bacillota; Clostridia; Eubacteriales; Clostridiaceae. The record is from RNAcentral.